AUGGAUACAACUGUUAAUUGCAACAGGCUUAACAGCAUCCUAAUUCAUGUUUUGCGCCGGAGGGGUCAGGCCCGCCGGGGGCACCGGCACCUCCUGAGGACGGGCUUCCACGGCCGUGGGAGACGACAUCACCAUUGGGGCUGCCCCGACUGCACAAGCCC
Molecule: ribosomal RNA, 161 nt
Filed under: Triticum aestivum (bread wheat)
Lineage: Eukaryota; Viridiplantae; Streptophyta; Magnoliopsida; Poales; Poaceae
Description: partial small subunit ribosomal RNA
Source: RNAcentral